This is a microRNA precursor of Nannospalax galili (Upper Galilee mountains blind mole rat), 71 nucleotides long. NCBI's taxonomy places the organism in Eukaryota, Metazoa, Chordata, Mammalia, Rodentia, Spalacidae. The record is from Ensembl.
UGCCAGUCAAGUUCCUGGCAGGAGUCCAGCUCACAGCUGGCUCCAGACUCUAGCCAGGGGCUUGACUUCAA